Non-coding RNA from Picea glauca (white spruce), 121 nucleotides. NCBI's taxonomy places the organism in Eukaryota, Viridiplantae, Streptophyta, Pinopsida, Pinales, Pinaceae. The record is from Rfam.
ACAUGCCUACAACAUAGCAUUAGUGCACCGGAUUCCAUUAGAACUCCACAAUUAAGCAUGCUCAGGCUAGAAUAGUAUUGGGAUGGGUGACUGCCUGGGAAGUCCUAGUGUUUUACAUGCC